AGAAAAAAUAGCGACAAAAAAUCAGGCGACUCGCACGCACGAGCGAGGCCUCCAGAUCCCUUCGCCACCGCCCGCCAGACCCAUCCUCGUCCCUGGCUCCCGGCGCCGCCCACCCCCCAUCUCCUCCUGCGAUCCUGGCAUCGCCUCGCCCCACCUUCUCCCUCACUCCCGGCGCCACCCCGCCCCCACCUUCUCCCUCACCACUGGCGCCGCCCAACCCCCAACCUCCAUGGAUCCUGGCACUGCCCUGUCCCCACCUCCUCCCUCGCUUCUGGCCGCCCAUGCCGCCUAUGCGCGCCCCUCCCUCAGCCCACCGACGACCUCCCAUCCUCCACCGUCUACCCCACCAUCGGAUCUCCUCCUCCCCUCUCCUUCUCUCCCUCGCGAACGCGUCAAACCCACGAAAUUUCCCUCCUCGCGGCCGGAACCCUAGCUCGCGCCUGUGGGUACUGGGCUGGAGGUGUGGCACGGGAUUCGCACCGCAGGAUUCACCAGCGACGAGUCCAACAGGUCGCCGAAUCGGGGAACGGGAUGGCGCACCCUGCUGCAGCCGCCGGUCGGGACGAGCGCGGCGGCGACGAACGUCAGUGCGCCUCCGUUUCCUCGACCUCCAAGGACGCGGGCGCCGGAUUUGUUCUCGCCUGACCAGCCUCGGUAUCCAGCUCCCUACAGCCACCGCCGGCAUCGAGUCCCAAGCAAGCGCGGAUGACGACGCCGCCAAAGAUGACGAGGCCCCGAGCUCGAGCACGACCACUACGACGCACUACACAAAGGCCCCUGCUUCUUGCCUGCCCUUCCCUUUGCUUGGAAGAUAGCUCUCUUCAGAUGUUGUUCCUGUCCUUCUCCUUGGUUGUUGAGCGCUGCACUCACUCAUGUAUGCAGGUUGAGUCCAAGCACAAUAGGCGAGAAGACGACGGUGACGCAGAGGAGGACGAGGACCCGCGCUCCAGCCCGACCACGACUAUGCACCGCACGGUCCCUGCUUCCUGGCUGUCGCCAAUUGCCCCCUUCCCUUUACAGUACUACUCUAUUUGUUUUCAUUGCUUUUCACCCAGUUUUGCACACUUUCUGGCCCUUCACUUUUUUGUGUGCAAAUGUUCUGAUCGCCUCCAUAUGGCUGUUUCCGUCCUCCUGCUCAUGCUGUCUCCAUCCUCCUGCUCAAGUAGUCGCGGUCGCCUCCCAUCCUUCAUGGCCUGCGUGUGUGCGCCCACUGUUGGAGGACGACGUUGAACAUGAAGCGGAGCCCAGCCGGAGCAGUCUGACGCGGUGGUCGUGGCCAAGGGGUGGUGGUCGAUGCCAUGGAGCAGGGCCCCUCGGUCGCUUGCACACCGGCUGCGUUCUGGACUAAUGCUUUCUGCAACUGCAAUGUUCCCCUCCACAUUGUAUCUUGUGUAGGCAGAAGGAAUGCAGCUCAGCGACGGCGUCGACUCCAACUGGAUCGAUGGCCUGAAGGCUUUUACUAAGAAGAUGAAGAAUGUUGUAGAAUAGUGUCCAUCAACAAAGAGUCCUACUACUACCGGUUGGAGAGGCUCUAUCCUCAGGUGAUUGAUUACUUAAGAAGUAUACUGAAUUAUGAUAUCCAUCGAUCUAAUUUUGUAUAGGAAUUUUUAAAAACUAAAGAAUCUGUGGUACAUGAUUUAAUUUACUCAUUUAGAUUUUAGUAAAUUGUGAACGGAAGUUUUUUUCACAAAACCAAUGCACCACCCUUUCUACACACAUCAUUCAUGGAUUGGCAGACUAAAGGUUCUAUUCAACAUCUUUGGUGGAUUGCAUAAAUGGGCUAGAGUAAAAAUAUACCAGAAUUGUUAUAUGUGCUUAGGGAAGUGGGAUUAGAUCAAGAUUUUUUUGACAAAAUGAGAAAUCAAUGGCUCAAGGAGAGUAAGCCCAAAGAGAUAAGUAUUGUUUUCCUUUAGUAGCUUGCCGCAUAAUUCAUUCAAACAUAUUUAGAGUGGAGCAGGAAUAUUCAAACAAGGAAAUGUGCACAAUAUCUGUUAGUAUACAUGUGACACUUUCCCCUCUUUCGACUAAUGAUUGCCUCCUGCCGGGUAUCACUAAUAGCACAUUCAUCACAUCAUUUGGGUAGCUCAUUCUGGUGUAAGUCGGGCCAAUUUAGAAAAGAUUUUAAAGCAGAUUCAUACAGGUUAUAGAAGUCAGAGUCAAAUAGUAUAAUAAGUGAUUUGUUUGUGCAUAAUUUCUAAUUGAUCGUCUUCUAAGGAUAAAUGGAACCGCUACCUUUCCUCUCUCCAAUAAACUAUUAGACCCUGGUUGUAACUAUUUUCAUCUUGGUGUGAUUUAUAAGGGAGGCCAUGCCAUUAGUUUUUUGUUAUUACAUGCUGUGAUGACCCCGAUUCAUUGAUGUAUAGUGUCGUAUGUGGUCAAUUACCUAAUAUGGUAGUUACACUUCUCCUGGUUUGCCUUGGUCUAAAAUCUGACUUUUGGACUGAUUGUAGUCAAUCUGAAUUAGUGAGGUUCUUUUUUCCAACUGUCCAUGUUCAGUUCUCUACAUUAUCAUGCAUUUUCUUUGGUUUAAAGAUGUCAUGAUGUUCACCAAGGCAGAGAAGAAAUGUUUUAAAGUUGUCCCUUCAAUUGAAACAAGUAUGACUUGGUCCUUAGUGCCUAUGCAAACAUGAAAACGGAAGGUCGAGAGGUUUAAAUAUGUCAUGAUGUUUACAAUUGCGGAUAUCCUGCUUCAGGUACUUGCCUGAUAACUCACAAUUUCAACACAGAAGUUACUAAUCUGUAAGACAUGCCCUCUCUCAUUCAAUGAUGUCCUGAAAUUUUCACACAAAGCUUUGUAAUCUUGCCAAGUAACAAGAGAGCCAAGUAAUCAUGCGAAUUUUCAGAGAACUUCAAGUGGCAUGCCACCAUUUGCAAUGGUCGUGAUGUAGUGAUAAUUAAUAAACUGCAGGCCUUCUAAAUAUUCUAAAGUUGCAUAUCUAAGAGCAUAUUAUAUUUCUCAUAAACAACUGGAGUUAAGCUUCUAUCCUCUUCCUGUCUUAAAGGAAUUAUCUGUUGAGUAAGCUAUAGUCUCUUUGUUUGACUAGCUAGGCUGUGUUACAUACAUGUAUAAGAUGAUGCUUCUGUGGCUAUAACUGGUGCCUGCCGUGCUAAAUAGGAAGCACCCUAUUAAUUACCCACCUCAAUUUCAUUAGUGCAUUCGGCCUGUGAAUUUUACCCCAGACUAUAAAUCCCCUCCAAACGAAACCCUAUAGGUGUACUAUGACUCUUAAUAGUGUAUCCUUGUAAAAGUCAGUGUGUUGGGUUAUUUUUUUGGUGUGGUUAGAGAACUCGACUCCAUUUGGAACGAGGGUUUGAGUUUUAUUUUUCCUAAACCUUUGAAAGGCAGAGCCAUGGAAUUAUUUUGUGCUCUCAUUCCUCUGGAUGGAAGCUCUAACUUUUCCUCUUUGUUUCCAAUAAGCUACUUUCUUCGAGAUUGUGCAAUGAAGGAUUUUGAUGGUAAGGGAUCGUAGAGCCUCGGGUGACUAGCAUUAAGAUAGGAAGGCUAUUGCCGCCCUUGUCCCUUGCUGCUGGGUUGCCACAGUGGCGUCAAUCACUGGCUUAUUUAGAACAAUAGUUAGUGGAUUUUGUGAUAAGGGUGAGGGCCGAGAGUGAGAGGGACGGGGUUGGGAUUGUUCUGUUGUAUGCGUGAAAUUAUUUCCCUACUUUAGAAAAUAUGGCAAAUUGCAUUUCAUUAGAGAUUGAUUUACAGCAAAUUGCAUGAGCGAGUGGUUCAUGCAUUUUUCAUCAAGUUGUACAUUUUCUUGGUUACGACAUAAGGGUAAAUGUACUGGUUGGUUGCUUCAAGACUUAAUAACAGACACUAUGACAAUGGCUCAAGAGAUAUCAGAUCUACCUUCUUGGAUGGGGGCGUUAUGGGUGGCGCACGCCUCGGCCCCCUUGAUGGCCGUGGUGGAUGGACAUGAACACGAGGGGGGAUCAGGGCGGAGAGCAGGGUGGUUGGCGGGGGACUCAUCCUUGGCAGUUCAUGGGAAAGUAUGGUGUGAAGCAGAGGGGGCGCCAUGGCGAAGUGUGAAAGGAGGAAAAUGAUCACCGGAAAGCAGGUAGAUCUACACCUUGAGAGAUGGCAUUUUGCGGUACAUUGUUUAGGUAUUUGGAUAUCUAUUAUCAUUCAAGAUAUCUUAAGGAGAAAUUUGGUUUUUGAUGAACUGAAACAAUAUACCAAUAAAAAUUUAGCGCUUGGCUGUACAUAUGAAUGUUAACUUUGUUAAAAUAAUUCUCCCUUUAUAAGAGAAGAUUUCUUAGUUCAAAUAUAUUUUUUGAAAAAAUAUAGUAUUUUCCUGACAAUCCUUUUGAUUCUAAAACAUCCAUAUCUCAGAAGGAUAAUAGUGGUGUGUUUAUGUUGCUUUGGGUCUCUUAUCACUCGGAUCAUUCAUCAGAAAAAUAUUUCAAAAAUAAUUCUAUUUUGACGUUUCCUUUGUGUUCAUUGUUCCAUCAUAGUAGUUUAGGUUCACAUCAAACCAGACCAUAUGUUUCAGUUUCACUCUUUGGACCAUGAUGGUGGUGUGCAAGGUGGGCUAGAUCGUAAUACUAAAAGAAUCAAUGGAGGUUAUUGGAUAGCUUUUAGAUUCUCCAAAAAAUAAUCUAGCAGAUGGAUGAUCCUAUUAUCACGUAUGGUGGUGGUGUGCAAGGAAAUGAAGCAGCAUGAUGGUAGCUACUGAUGUUAUUUUCACAUGUAAUUCCUGCGGAGUGUAGUAUAUUGGGAGCCAAGGCCGAGUAGCAAGCCAUGUGUCACCGCAAGGACAGGAGCGAGAUUUAAUUAAUUGUAUUUGCAAGAUUUGGUCUUCCCUUCUUGUUUUCCUGGUCAUCUCACAGGUCAUUAGUGGUCACUUGGGAUGAGUGCGAUCUGUAGCAUUUGAUCCAGGGAACAAAUGGUUUUGUCCUGGUUUUGCUGAUAGGACAAUAACGGCAAGGAAGAAGGUUGCAGAGCACGGAUGGAUGUGAAAAGGAAGAGGAUGGAUGAGAGAGGAGAGAAGAGGGGUGAAAGAGGAUACAGAUGGAAAGAGGGAGAAGGACAGGGUGGAGGCGCUUCUUGAGGAUUAUUGUCGACUGAUUUCAUACUCUCUUAUAAAUUCAUGGUUAGCUAGGUAAACCUUUUGUACAACAACUCUUGUUCAUAAGGAAGUUUGAUUUUUCGGCUUCUUAUUUUAGGUCAAUAUCAAGAACAGUUUAGUUAAUUUAGUUUAAUGUUUAUGUUUGAAAUUGACUUUUACCAUUCUGGUUGAAUGGGGAUGUGGAUAGAAGAGAUUGCGAGUCGGGUACGGUGAUGCCAACAUUGUAUUAGGGGCAGAUAGAUUUAAGUUCCGUCUUAUGUGCAUGAGGAUAGGAUCACUAUUAAAUCAUCAGAAUAAGUCUGCUCCUAUUGCAACGCACCCACAAUGGGAGAAAUGUGAUGUCCAUUUGAUUUUUGGGAGAACACAAGUGCAACCUGAGGCCGAAGUCGUUGAUGGCACUACGAGAUGCAAUGGCGAUGCUGAAGGCGUCGAUGGCACUGCGAGGCUGAGCCCUCUUGGGAGAAUCAAGAAAGAAAGAAAAGAAGAGCGCUUCAAGGGUAAAAAGGUAGUUGCUGAUGCAGCCCGUUGCAACACACGUGAAUGUGUCUGCCUAUUUUGUUUUUCAUUUUAUGCUCUGGUGGAACGGUAA
RNAcentral lists this ribosomal RNA (5661 nucleotides) under Triticum aestivum (bread wheat). RNAcentral describes it as "partial small subunit ribosomal RNA". Lineage: Eukaryota; Viridiplantae; Streptophyta; Magnoliopsida; Poales; Poaceae. The record is from RNAcentral.